CACCCGGCGGCGGCCGGGGCGGCUCUGGCUCUAGGCGGAGGUAUUGGCUCUCAUGAAAGGUGCUGGGAGGUAGAGAUGGAGUAGUCAUCUGGUUUUCGUGGGAGAACAAUGCCGUCAACGGGAAGCAGAAUAUAGAUUUCCAAGGAGAGAGGGAUGCGCCAAACACACUGUCCUUCCUUCCUAAACAGCCUGCUUAGGGAGGGCAGCAGGCAAGGUCACCGCUUGGCCGCGGGCCGCGGCUUCCAGGCCCCUCCGGGAGGACGGGGCGCCGAGGCCUCGGAAGCCACGCCCCAGGGAAGACCCCGCAGACGAGCCAAUAGAAGACGCGUUCCUUCCCUCCCACAUGGCCAGCUGCUAAUUUCGCAGAUUAACUGGGGCUGCCCAGACUCAGCACCCAAACUCCUCCAAGCCAGGCUUGGCCGGAACACACCGGCAGGAAAAGGGCGCCCAGCGUCCACUCGAGCUCUGUUUAGUCUGAAAGGGAAACCCCCUGAAUAAUUCCCUCGGUCGUCAUGGUUAACGCUCAAAACGCUACGUAGGUCACCCAAUAAACACUUUCAAAUCCCAACCAACAUGCCAAG
Molecule: long non-coding RNA, 581 nt
Organism: Eptesicus fuscus (big brown bat)
Lineage: Eukaryota; Metazoa; Chordata; Mammalia; Chiroptera; Vespertilionidae
Exons: 3
Source: RefSeq, a predicted model, not a curated record